This 373-nucleotide ribosomal RNA is filed under the name uncultured bacterium. Its description in RNAcentral is "bacterial SSU rRNA". It matches the Rfam family "Bacterial small subunit ribosomal RNA", at positions 30 to 406 of the family's 1533-position model. The record is from RNAcentral.
AUUGAACGCUGGCGGCAUGCCUUACACAUGCAAGUCGAACGGCAGCGCGGGGCAACCUGGCGGCGAGUGGCGAACGGGUGAGUAACAUAUCGGAACAUACCCUAGAGUGGGGAUAACGUAGCGAAAGUUACGCUAAUACCGCAUACGCACUAAGGUGGAAAGUGGGGGAUUCGCAAGAACCUCAUGCUCAUGGAGUGGCCGAUAUCUGAUUAGCUAGUUGGUGAGGUAAAGGCUCACCAAGGCGACGAUCAGUAGCUGGUUUGAGAGAACGACCAGCCACACUGGAACUGAGACGCGGUCCAGACUCCUACGGAGGCAGCAGUGGGGAAUUUUGGACAAUGGGGGCAACCUGAUCCAGCAAUGCCGCGUGAGU